UACGUAGGGUGCAAGCGUUAAUCGGAAUUACUGGGCGUAAAGCGUGCGCAGGCGGUUAUGCAAGACAGAUGUGAAAUCCCCGGGCUUAACCUGGGAAUGGCAUUUGGGACUGCAAGGCUGGAGUGUGGCAGAGGAGACUGGAAUUCCCGGUGUAGCAGUGAAAUGCGUAGAUAUCAGGAGGAACACCAAUGGCGAAGGCAGCACUCUGGGACGUGACUGACGCUGAGACGCGAAAGCGUGGGGAGCAAACAGG
This 253-nucleotide ribosomal RNA is filed under the name uncultured bacterium. RNAcentral describes it as "partial 16S ribosomal RNA". It matches the Rfam family "Bacterial small subunit ribosomal RNA", at positions 524 to 776 of the family's 1533-position model. The record is from RNAcentral.